Long non-coding RNA from Trachemys scripta elegans, 1617 nucleotides. RefSeq lists it as uncharacterized. The transcript has 3 exons. The record is from RefSeq and is a predicted model, not a curated record. Lineage: Eukaryota; Metazoa; Chordata; Testudines; Emydidae.
GCCCCUCCCCUCCCCGGGGCUGCACGGGGACAUGGUGAGCGGCGCGGCAUGGGGCCCUGGCAGGCAGGGAGUGUGGCUGAGGGAGGAAUAAUACAGACCACUUGAUGGAUGACACUGCCAGAGGUUGGCAGGAAGGCCGACCCUAAGUGCAGUGACUCUCCUGGAGCACCCAACUCCCUCUGGGCACUGGCCCAGACCACGUCUGCCUCGCGGUCUUUGAGAAAACAAGAGAGAAACCUGUCAGCUCAGCUGAAAAACAAUAGAAUUCAAACCCCAUAAAAAUGGGCCAUCUUUGAAUGAAGAAAAAGCCCACUCUCACCUGCCAACUCAACAAGCAGGAAAGGCUCCGGAGAGCUGCAGAUUAUGGGAUAACUGACUCAGGCAUCCCACAACGGAACAGCUGGAGAGAGUGGUGUGAGGAAGGGGUAUUCCAGUUUUCCAGAAACCUGUGUUUUUACUGUGCAGUUUUGUACCACUAGAAGGACAAAUAGUACAUCGUUUGUCUGCAGUUGUGCACUUACCUAGUCUAGACUGACCCUUAGUGGUAAACUGGAAAUAUGAGCACAAUUCAAAUUUCAAAACAGUGCUUUUCCAUAAUCUAAUUAUUUGGAAAGGGGUAGAUAUAUAUGCUGUAUGUCACGGUACAUGUAAAUAGCCCCUGUAACUGUCAGAAGUAUAAAUAAUACCAGUUAUAUCAAAAUAAUGAUUACACGUGAAGAAUGCAAAAUGAAAAUUGUGAUGUCAAGACACACUAUAUUACAAGGAACAAAUAAGAAGCCUGUAUCAGGCACUAACAAAUACCUCAAGCUAACUAUGGAAUAUUAUUAAUUAGGUCUCUAAAAUACCAUCUUUCUGAAAAGCAGCGUAUGUGUAAUAUUCCAACUUAUUAAUCAAAGCAAUGGGACAAUGUGAAAUCUGCAAAAAAAUGAAUGGAUUGCAGAUGAUUGCCUACCUCUUUAAUAAUGACAGAGGAACACACCAGCUUCAAAUGCCAGAGACUCUCAGUCUUCUCUUUUUAAGCAGCCCAUAUUUUCAGUUCUCAAGGCAGUGAGGUAGAUAUGUUGGUUUCUUAUUGCAUUUUUUCCUGCAGCAUUAAUUCAAUUGAUGUUCUUCCCUAAUCAUGCUAAUUAUACUGCCAUAUGUUGCUCUCAUCCUUCUUUUUCUGUCCUAAUGGGACAUAGAUUCCCUCUUUUAAAUAUGUCAUUUAUUUAGUACAUGUAUUGAGGGUUUUAACAUUAUAUGAGUCUUUUAAUUGCUUUUUUAAACACUCAGCAGACUGAAUAUUAAAAACUUGACAUGAAGGUCAAUUAUAAAUAAUAUUUGAAUUGCAUGUGUGGGGUUUUGUCUUUUUCUGUGAAUCUCUAAUUUAGAAGCAUCAAGUUUAUAGGAAUUAUUCACAUGACAACACACACAGAAUCAUAGAAAUGUAGGGCUGGAAUAGCGUUUGAGAGGUUAUCUAGUCCAUCUCCUAGUACCUCGGCCAUCCCUGACCUGUGUUUGUCAAACCUAUUGUUAAAAACCUUCAGUUACGGUGAUUCCACAACCUACUUUGGUAACUUAUUCCAGUACUUAAAUAUCCUUAUAGUUAGAAAGUUUUCCCUGACAUCACAUUUAAAU